Molecule: ribosomal RNA, 481 nt
Filed under: Streptococcus sp. oral taxon C56
Lineage: Bacteria; Bacillati; Bacillota; Bacilli; Lactobacillales; Streptococcaceae
Description: bacterial SSU rRNA
Rfam family: Bacterial small subunit ribosomal RNA
Source: RNAcentral
GACGAACGCUGGCGGCGUGCCUAAUACAUGCAAGUAGAACGCUGAAGGAGGAGCUUGCUCUUCUGGAUGAGUUGCGAACGGGUGAGUAACGCGUAGGUAACCUGCCUGGUAGUGGGGGAUAACUAUUGGAAACGAUAGCUAAUACCGCAUAAUAACAGUUGUUGCAUGACAACUGUUUGAAAGGUGCAAUUGCAUCACUACCAGAUGGACCUGCGUUGUAUUAGCUAGUUGGUGGGGUAACGGCUCACCAAGGCGACGAUACAUAGCCGACCUGGGAGGGUGAUCGGCCACACUGGGACUGAGACACGGCCCAGACUCCUACGGGAGGCAGCAGUAGGGAAUCUUCGGCAAUGGACGGAAGUCUGACCGAGCAACGCCGCGUGAGUGAAGAAGGUUUUCGGAUCGUAAAGCUCUGUUGUAAGAGAAGAACGAGUGUGAGAGUGGAAAGUUCACACUGGGACGGGAUCUACCAGAAAGGACG